This 459-nucleotide ribosomal RNA is filed under the name uncultured Actinobacillus sp. Its description in RNAcentral is "partial 16S ribosomal RNA". It matches the Rfam family "Bacterial small subunit ribosomal RNA", at positions 341 to 792 of the family's 1533-position model. Lineage: Bacteria; Pseudomonadati; Pseudomonadota; Gammaproteobacteria; Pasteurellales; Pasteurellaceae. The record is from RNAcentral.
ACGGGAGGCAGCAGUGGGGAAUAUUGCACAAUGGGGGGAACCCUGAUGCAGCCAUGCCGCGUGAAUGAAGAAGGCCUUCGGGUUGUAAAGUUCUUUCGGUAGCGAGGAAGGUGGUUGUUUUAAUAGAACAAUCAAUUGACGUUAACUACAGAAGAAGCACCGGCUAACUCCGUGCCAGCAGCCGCGGUAAUACGGAGGGUGCGAGCGUUAAUCGGAAUAACUGGGCGUAAAGGGCACGCAGGCGGUUGAUUAAGUGAGAUGUGAAAGCCCCGGGCUUAACCUGGGAAUUGCAUUUCAUACUGGUCAACUAGAGUACUUUAGGGAGGGGUAGAAUUCCACGUGUAGCGGUGAAAUGCGUAGAGAUGUGGAGGAAUACCGAAGGCGAAGGCAGCCCCUUGGGAAUGUACUGACGCUCAUGUGCGAAAGCGUGGGGAGCAAACAGGAUUAGAUACCCUGGUA